GUCUAGUCGAGUUGAUCGAGAUAGGUGCAUUUUGACGAGCCGUUCAUUCCUAACCGUCGGAUAAUUUCGGAAAGAAGCCCACCAGGCCCAAGCAUCACGCACGAACCCUCCUCUCAGAGCCUGUUCACGGCCGCCGCCACCUAGGUCUGCGCCGCCGUCGCUGGGUGUCGCCGCCGAUCGGUCUCCGCCAACGUAGCCAACGCGGGGGACUCUCCCUCCACCAGUUCUUGCUGCGCGGUGUCUGCCUGCAUCCGGAUCGCGCCACUGUUCCAGCAGUUAACCGCCAAAGCGCUGACGAGUCACAAACUUCGAGAUGGUGGCGGCGGCAGCUGCGGGGAAGCGGAAGCGAGAUCUCUCCGAGGACGAGGUGUACCUCAUCCUCCACAAGUCGGUCCUUCUCCUCAACCUUCGCGCUACUCGCCGCUUCUCCUGGGCCCGCCCUAGGGUUUUAGUGCGCCGCUCAAUCUUGCUGCAGGUACUCGCCUGCGACAAUCCUGACGGUGCUUCAGGAGGUGGCGCAGCACGCGGAGAGAAGGAGCAUCGACUGGAGGGCGCUGGUGGCCAAGACAGCCACGGGGAUCACCUCCGCCCGCGAGUACCAGAUGCUUUGGCGCUACAUCGCCUACCGACAUGACUUCAUCGAGAACGCCGAGGACAUCGGCGCCCAGCCUCUGGGUGAUGAGAGCGACUUGGAAUGUGAGAUUGAACCCUUUCCUAAGCCGAGCAACGAAGCUGCAGCUGAGGCCUCCCGGUUCGCGAAGAUCUUAAUCUAUGGACCUUCACGUGAGCAAGGUUCUAGUCAUCGUGUUAACUCAGAAGUUCCUCUGCUAAACACUCCAAAUGAGAAGAUACCGCGUGUUCCAUCUGACAAACAGCUUGCUCAGAGCCAUCGUCUAACAAAUAGUACAGGUCCAGUUUCCAACUCAAAACAGGCAUCCCAUACAGGGUUAUCUCCUGAUCCUUUUGAAUGGAAUGGACCUCAUAAAAAGACAAAGAAGCCUAAAGCAUGGUCCAACAAGGAGGAUGCAGACUUAAUGGAUGGUGUACAUAAGUGUGGUGAAGGAAAUUGGCUGAACAUUCUGCGUAAAUAUAACUUCGAUAGCACAAGAACUUAUGUUCAAUUAUCUCAGAGAUGGGCAGUCAUUUGCAGGCGUCAAGGAACAACCAAGCUUGCUAAAGCUAAAUCAGUCACCACGGAGUUUGAUAUAAAAGCUACUCAAAAGGCAUUCUCUAUGGCUCUUGAUAUGCCUAUGGGGAAGCCUGGUGGAUUCUCUACAUUAAGAUUAGGAGCUUCACAACAAAGCGCUCAACAUCCUGCUCCAGUAUUCGUUGCUGCGGCACCUGAGUUAAAAUGUGCAACAUCCUCUUCAUCAUUCCCGUUGCCAGUACCAGCGCCAGCACAAGGGCAGAUUCCACUUCCUCGGGUGCAACCAGCUCCUGCUCAAGCUGCAGCCUCAAAAGUGUCAAAUACUUCAAACAAGUCACAAAAUAGCUCUAAGAAGCAAAAUGCACAAGCAAAUCCUACAAAUGCUCCUUCCUCGAUACAAGCUGCAGCUAUUGCUGCUGGUGGACGAAUCGCCCCAGCAAGCAUCGCCACCGAUUUAUUGAAAGCUGCACAAUCCUCGCAAGCUGUGCACAUAACCCCGAAAGCUAAGCACAUAAGACCUCGAGGAAAAGGAUCUUCAAAAACUUCUACAAGCUCUAAAGCAUCCACUAUGGCUGGUGAGCCUGGAACACAGCCUGGUAGUGCUGAACACCCAGAACUUCCAAACUGCAGUGCCCCUACACCAUCUCCUCCGGUUUUGAUAACACAGUCAAUUGAGCAAGUUAAUGUUGUGUCAGAAGUUGCAGGAGUUAACCCCCCUGAACAAUCUGCUAGUGCACAUUUGUUGGAACCUGAUAGAGCAUUGAGCACCACACCAGUGUCUGGCCCAUGCGACAAUAUGGAGAUGGACGACGACUCUACAUUUUGUGCAGUCACGAUGGAGGACUUGUUUCCUGAAGACGUGAAGCAGCCGGAGAUGGUGAAGCAGCCAGAGAUAGUGAAGCAGUAUGAGAUGAUAGACCCCAAAGCUGAGGAGAGCAUAGAUCCCAAGGAUGCCGACAUGCUGGAGUUCGAUCGCUUUGUUGCCCAAGGAUGCUUGACUACAGAUUGUUUGGAUAAGAGCAAAGGUGUCAAAAUUGCUCCUGGAGCUCAAGGUGCUAUUCCCAGCCAGAAGAAACAGCAACCCACAGUUGUGAAAAGCAUCCCUGCGUCUGCUAGAGCACCAGCAACCGUGAAGAAGACCAAAACUCUAGCUUCACAUGGGGCGACCUUUCCAUCAACAGUCACCUCUAGUGGCCUUGUUGGCACAGGCAAUGCUGGUGUGCUGAGUAAAGCAAUAUAUCGGAAGCCACCUGGCCCAGGCACCACAGGCAAACAAAAUAGGUGCCAAGAAAUUAUGGCCCAGAAGCAGCAUGCUAUGAGCUCAAAUAGUAGUGCACUGGCCAGGAAUGCGGCUCCUGGCGUCGGAACACCAGCCAGGAAUGCGGCUCCGGGGGUUGGAACACCAGCCAGGAAUGCGGCUCCGGGCGUUGGAACACCAGCCAAGAAUAUGUCUCCCGGUGCCGGAACACCAGUUAGGAAUGCGGUUCCAGCCACCGGAACACUAGCUAAAAAUAUGGCUCCUGCCACCGGAGCACCAGCCAGGAAUGCGGCUCCUGGCACUGGAAUAACACCAGCCAGGAGCUUGCUUACCGGCACUGGAACACCACCAGCCAGGAACUCGCUUACCGGCACUGCAACACCACCAGUCAGGACUGCGGCUCCUGGCACUGGAACACCACCAGUCAGGAACCCGGCUCCCAGUGCUGGAACUCCACCAGGCAGGAACUCGCUUACCGGCACCGGAACACCAGCCAGUCGCCAAUAUACCCCAGUGGUGAAUGGGGCUAGCAAGGGGAAUCCACCUGCCAGCCAAUAGCCAGGCGAACAUGUGUGGACAGUGGGGAUUGACAAUGGCACCUCAAGAUGUUCGUUCCCUCUGCAUAUGCUGCCUCUGAAACUGGAGUUGUUUUGACGUGAGGAGAUUUCCUCCAGUGCAUGAACUGAUUGUUGGAUUAGCUGUUAUUGGUAACAGAAGAUGUGUGUAUCAGGCUGCAAGCGGGGUGGGUGGCGGUUGCCCGCCACAAAGCGGGCGCCAGCACAAGAUGCAGGCAUUCGCGUGUUGCCGCCACACUCCACCAGGAUUAGUGCGGGAGCCCGCCACACACCCGCAAAUUGGUGUCCAUAGCUCAGACGUCAGAGUACAGAGGAGCCCCCAGCGUGUACUAGAGCACUAGCGCUUAUAAUUAACGAAAAUGAGAUGUCUAUGUGAUUACCCACAUGACUGGUCUUGCAUCGAGGUAUAGCAGGUGCUUGCUAAUAUAAAUUCAGAUCAUGUUACUAUUUCAUCGGCACGUGCUUGCUAAUAUAAAUUCAGAUCAUGGUACUAUUUCAUCGACACACAUUAUAAUGGGGUGAGGAG
This 3506-nucleotide ribosomal RNA is filed under the name Triticum aestivum (bread wheat). RNAcentral's name for it is "partial small subunit ribosomal RNA". The record is from RNAcentral. Lineage: Eukaryota; Viridiplantae; Streptophyta; Magnoliopsida; Poales; Poaceae.